CUCCUUCGUCGGUCAGUGCAGUCAGGGUCAGUGGGAAAAUAACUCAGAGCAAAACCCUGAGCGGGAGUUUUGCCCCCGGGCCAGCGGGAAGCCGGUCCUGUUAUUUUAAGUAGCGACUUGCAGGGAUGCUGUGAAAAAUGGUGUCAGGAAACUUCUCCUAAGUCCGCAUCACUGAAGCCAGUGUGAUUUGGACCUUUGAGGGAGUGAUUUCGACCUUUGAGGGAGUGAUUUCAAAAGGUUAGAUGUUUGUUUCCGUGAUUUAAUGUUCAAAAUAAGGAGUUUAUCCUACCUUGGUACUUGCAAACAGACUCGUGACCUUUUUGCAAAACCAGAGUUUAGGAACCACCACCUGUCUAUCAAUGGAAUACUAUGUGUCCAUUAAAAAUAUUGAGGGCACCCCAGCAUAUGGCAACAGUCCCCAGGCUCCUGAACCCGCGUCUACAGCCCUCCUGACACUCCUGAAGCUUCUCCCCCAUUUCCCAGUGCUAACGUGUGUCGUCAGAUUUCUGUCUGUCUCCCUCCACCAGCAGAGGCUGACAUGAAACAAAUUUGCAUUCCUUGAGAAGCUGACCAGAGGGCAGGCAGAGGAUGAUCUGUGAUGUGUUGGCUACCAUGUGAGGCCAACAUAAACUCAACAGUGGAGCAAAUAAUCCCAGACAGAUUAUACCAAUAUUCCGUAUUAAUAACUACUCAGUGGAGUGGGGUUUUUUUCACUUCGGUGGUGAGACAAGUAAAAUAAAAAUUUCAUGUUUUAUUUUCUGGGGCAUAGAUUGACAGAAGUCUGUUAACAAA
Long non-coding RNA from Myotis davidii, 792 nucleotides. RefSeq lists it as uncharacterized. The transcript has 4 exons. The record is from RefSeq and is a predicted model, not a curated record. NCBI's taxonomy places the organism in Eukaryota, Metazoa, Chordata, Mammalia, Chiroptera, Vespertilionidae.